This 114-nucleotide non-coding RNA is filed under the name human gut metagenome. RNAcentral's name for it is "SAM riboswitch (S box leader)". It matches the Rfam family "SAM riboswitch aptamer (S box leader)". From Rfam's summary of the family: The SAM riboswitch is found upstream of a number of genes which code for proteins involved in methionine or cysteine biosynthesis in Gram-positive bacteria. The record is from RNAcentral.
CUUAUCAAGAGCGACGGAGGGAACAGGCCCUGUGAUGUCCGGCAACCUGCCGCCAGUCUGAGCGGACUGACGCGGCAAGGUGCUAAAUCCUGCGGGUAACACCGACAGAUGAGG